GGGGAACUGAGCAGCUUUUUGUAUGAGCAAAUAAAUGAAGUGUUCUGAGAUUCCUGCUUGUGCAGCUGCAAGGAAAUUACUGAACAUCGUUUUUCCAUUCUCUGCAGGUCAGACAAUCUCCAUAUUGGCUGAGUCUCGGGCAUUUCAUAGCAUCAGAGUUCUGGCUCAAGCUAAGGUUUUCAGAGAAACUGACCCAGCCAAAACUACCAACAGAAUCCAGAGCUUGGCCACAACAAAAUCAUCUUCAGACAACUAUCUACAUCAGUGGCACCUUUCAGAUACCUGUGGCAGAUGUAGCGAAGUGUGAUCAUAAAACAAGGUGAGUGUGCAUUCCCAGACCUGCGGUCCCAGGGAGUUUUUGAGCAGAGAGGAUGUCUUUGUAUUUA
Molecule: long non-coding RNA, 386 nt
Filed under: Phasianus colchicus (ring-necked pheasant)
Lineage: Eukaryota; Metazoa; Chordata; Aves; Galliformes; Phasianidae
Description: lncRNA (ENSPCLG00000001318.1)
Source: RNAcentral